GUCUCCUUUUGGGUUCUCCGGCAGAAGGCAGACAUUUACAGUCCGCUUCCAGCCCCAGGCCGGAUCCGGGGAGCGCGGGGCCAGAGCCCCAGGCCGGAUCCGGGGAGCGCGGGGCCAGCCUGGCGGUGGUUUUGCCCGAGGAGCGGGCUCCCACGCGCGAGUCAGGCUUCCUCCACCAGGCGCCCAGACCUCGAUGCCCAUGAACGCUCAGAGUGGGUCCUUAGAACCGCAUUUCAACACAUCUUACAGGGCUCCGCCAACACACACACAGAACAUGCUCCAAGCAGUGCCCGAGCGCACAGGGCAAGCCCGGGAGCAACCCAGAGCUGGGGGAGGAGAAAAGGGGACUCCGGGAGGGACGGGGAAGUAGUUAGACAAUAGUCAGGGGAGGUUAUUCCCGGGACAAAAAGCACCUGGCAAAGCGCGCCGAGCCCGGCGCAGGCCACGCGAGACGCCGAAGCCAGCAGGUCCCCACACUCUCCGGCUAGACCGUGCCAGCCUGAGCCCCGAGCAAGCUUCGGAGAGGAACAAUGGGUGCCCCGCGUCCCACCUGGCACGAACUCUGGGGACAGCCCUCCCUCUACCCUGUGUUCCCCACCCCCGGACAGAGAGAGCUCCCCACGAUCCUUGUCCCCAGCCCUAGCGGGGACCUGGCUCACCCCUCGUGAGCCCAGGACUCCAGGCGUUCGUCGGGGACGCCCCCCGGCC
Molecule: long non-coding RNA, 708 nt
Filed under: Homo sapiens (human)
Lineage: Eukaryota; Metazoa; Chordata; Mammalia; Primates; Hominidae
Description: HSALNT0113036
Source: RNAcentral